This 761-nucleotide long non-coding RNA is filed under the name Nicotiana benthamiana. RNAcentral's name for it is "long non-coding RNA (NBEN_LNC021182)". The record is from RNAcentral. Lineage: Eukaryota; Viridiplantae; Streptophyta; Magnoliopsida; Solanales; Solanaceae.
GGGAUACAUAGAAAUAUAAUGAAAAAAGGCAGUGAACAGAAUGAAAUAUAUGGAAUACAACGAGAUACAUUGAAUUACAAUAAAAAAAUACAAUGAAUAUAAUGAAAUACAUGAAAAUACAGCAUGAUUCGUUGAAAAUACAUUGAAAUAUAUUAACAGAAAAUCAAGUUGCUUAGCCUCAAACUCCGUCGACUUUAUUCAAGAACAAACCCUAAUUUCCGGCAAAUCCGCCGUCGAGCAAUGGUAGCAGAAUAACGAGCUGUUAACCACCAUUAACGAGCAGAUGAUUACAACUUCUGAAGCAGCAACAACAUAAUCUUCAUAUAAAUCAAACCUGAUGAGGAUGUGCCUUCUCGCUAACCACCCAAUCAAGCUACGACCUUGAGUUCCAAGCAGUUUUGGCAAGAACUUUCGAAGUUCAUUCAUCUCCAAUCUCUCAAACGAAAAUGUUAAUGCUAGAGCCUGAUGUAGGCCUUCUUCAACAGUAAACUUUCCAAGUUCCUCCAUAAUAAACACAACAGUAGGUUUUCCAUGAACUAUUUCAAUAGGUUUAAGAAUUGUUUUUGAUGGAUUUUGAGCAGGUUUGUUUGUGAGCACUCUCGUAGCGUAUGUAGUGGCUGGGUUAGGGUUUAAAUUUGUCUCUCCCUCACCGGCAUGUACCAAAGUAGAGAGAGAAAGAAAAUAGUGUAACUGAAUAGCGUACUUAUUGGCUUAGGGGUAGGAGGUAACCAAUAUUAGAUAUUUUGCUAUAAACAUUAAAA